CCAACCUAUCCCAGGGCGGGGGGACAACCGAGGGAAACUUUGGCUAAUACCGCAUGAUGUUCCGCUUUCGCAUGUUAGCGGAAUCAAAGAGGGCCUCUUCAUGAAAGCUCUCACCCAGGGAGGGGGUCGCGAUGUAUCAGCUUGUUGGUGGGGUAAUGGCCUACCAAGGCUACGACGCGUAGCGGAUCUGAGAGGAUGAUCCGUCACAUUGGGACUGAGAUACGGCCCAG
Molecule: ribosomal RNA, 230 nt
Filed under: uncultured bacterium
Lineage: Bacteria
Description: partial 16S ribosomal RNA
Rfam family: Bacterial small subunit ribosomal RNA
Source: RNAcentral